This 459-nucleotide ribosomal RNA is filed under the name uncultured bacterium. RNAcentral describes it as "partial 16S ribosomal RNA". It matches the Rfam family "Bacterial small subunit ribosomal RNA", at positions 338 to 795 of the family's 1533-position model. The record is from RNAcentral.
CCUACGGGAGGCAGCAGUGAGGAAUAUUGGUCAAUGGCCGGAAGGCUGAACCAGCCAAGCCGCGUGAAGGACGAAGGUGCCAAGCAUUGUAAACUUCUUUUGUCAAGGGACAAAAUCAGGCUCGAGAGCCUGACCGAGGGUACUUGAAGAAAAAGCAUCAACUAACUCCGUGCCAGCAGCCGCGGUAAUACGGAGGAUGCGAGCGUUAUCCGGAUUUAUUGGGUUUAAAGGGUGAGUAGGCGGACUGUUAAGUCAGCGGUAAAAGCCCGGGGCUCAACCCCGGCGAGCCGUUGAAACUGGCUGUAGUGCGAUGUCGAGAGGUAUGCGGAAUGCGCAGUGUAGCGGUGGAAUGCUUAGAUAUUGCGCAGAACGCCGAUGGCGAAGGCAGCAUACCGGCGGCGAUCUGACGCUGAGGCACGAAAGCGGGGGUAUCGAACAGGAUUAGAUACCCCUGUAGUC